Molecule: ribosomal RNA, 492 nt
Filed under: uncultured bacterium
Lineage: Bacteria
Description: partial 16S ribosomal RNA
Rfam family: Bacterial small subunit ribosomal RNA
Source: RNAcentral
AGUGAACGCUGGCGGUAGGCCUAACACAUGCAAGUCGAACGGCAGCACAGUAAGAGCUUGCUCUUACGGGUGGCGAGUGGCGGACGGGUGAGGAAUACAUCGGAAUCUACUUUUUCGUGGGGGAUAACGUAGAGAAACUUACGCUAAUACCGCAUACGACCUACGGGUGAAAGCAGGGGAUCUUCGGACCUUGCGCGAUUGAAUGAGCCGAUGUCGGAUUAGCUAGUUGGCGGGGUAAAGGCCCACCAAGGCGACGAUCCGUAGCUGGUCUGAGAGGAUGAUCAGCCACACUGGAACUGAGACACGGUCCAGACUCCUACGGGAGGCAGCAGUGGGGAAUAUUGGACAAUGGGCGCAAGCCUGAUCCAGCCAUACCGCGUGGGUGAAGAAGGCCUUCGGGUUGUAAAGCCCUUUUGAUGGGAAAGAAAAGCAGCAGGUUAAUACCCCGCUGUUCUGACGGUACCCAAAGAAUAAGCACCGGCUAACUUCGUG